This 435-nucleotide ribosomal RNA is filed under the name Triticum aestivum (bread wheat). RNAcentral's name for it is "partial small subunit ribosomal RNA". Lineage: Eukaryota; Viridiplantae; Streptophyta; Magnoliopsida; Poales; Poaceae. The record is from RNAcentral.
AUGAUUUUCGCUUUGCAUGUAGACUCCAUUUUGGGAACUCGCAAUGCGAUGUCUUACUUCCUAACCUCAUUAUCAGCUUACGUUUUCCCUUAUCUUUUCGUGUUACAAUUGUUUAGCGCAAUGCAGUUCUUUAGGAAAAAAGGUGUUCUCCCUACCAUACUGUUUAUUGUCCCCAAACAUGCCAACCCCAAAAAAUUGCCCAACCUAUACCUGUAUAGUGGAACCGAUGUAUCUGAUGAUCCUGCCACUAUAUUUCUGCACCAGUUUGCUGUGAAGAUGUCCCUAAGCUUCUGGUCUCCUCUGAAUCCUGUUGCCAGAAUUAUAAUAUCACUCUUUAUGCUUUCAUUUCCAUCCUCCAGGUUGAUCCCAUCACUGCAGAAGCUGAACCUCUUUGAUUUCUUUAGAAUAAUGCUGCCAUCAUCAACCCUGUCAUAA